AGAGUUUGAUCCUGGCUCAGAUUGAACGCUGGCGGCAGGCCUAACACAUGCAAGUCGAGCGGAUGACGGGAGCUUGCUCCUUGAUUCAGCGGCGGACGGGUGAGUAAUGCCUAGGAAUCUGCCUGGUAGUGGGGGACAACGUUUCGAAAGGAACGCUAAUACCGCAUACGUCCUACGGGAGAAGGCAGGGGACCUUCGGGCCUUGCGCUAUCAGAUGAGCCUAGGUCGGAUUAGCUAGUUGGUGGGGUAAUGGCUCACCAAGGCGACGAUCCGUAACUGGUCUGAGAGGAUGAUCAGUCACACUGGAACUGAGACACGGUCCAGACUCCUACGGGAGGCAGCAGUGGGGAAUAUUGGACAAUGGGCGAAAGCCUGAUCCAGCCAUGCCGCGUGUGUGAAGAAGGUCUUCGGAUUGUAAAGCACUUUAAGUUGGGAGGAAGGGCAGUAAGCUAAUACCUUGCUGUUUUGACGUUACCGACAGAAUAAGCACCGGCUAACUCUGUGCCAGCAGCCGCGGUAAUACAGAGGGUGCAAGCGUUAAUCGGAAUUACUGGGCGUAAAGCGCGCGUAGGUGGUUUGUUAAGUUGGAUGUGAAAGCCCCGGGCUCAACCUGGGAACUGCAUCCAAAACUGGCAAGCUAGAGUACGGUAGAGGGUGGUGGAAUUUCCUGUGUAGCGGUGAAAUGCGUAGAUAUAGGAAGGAACACCAGUGGCGAAGGCGACCACCUGGACUGAUACUGACACUGAG
Molecule: ribosomal RNA, 747 nt
Filed under: uncultured bacterium
Lineage: Bacteria
Description: bacterial SSU rRNA
Rfam family: Bacterial small subunit ribosomal RNA
Source: RNAcentral